AGGCUUGUUUGAAUGGUUUGACGUGAUAAAGUGAAUAUUUAUUAUUUACUUGAAAUUAUUGUUGAGGGCACAGAAUCCUCAGUUAUGAAUUAGACGGAAAGACCCCGGGAUCUUUUAAUUUUGCUUGGGGCAGGUUUUAGUGUUUUACUAAUAUUGCGACCCUUAAGGUUUAAUGGGUAAGUUACCCCGGGGAUAACAGUGUAAUAAUUAAUGAGAGAUCGUAUCGAAUUAAUUGUUUGCUACCUCGAUGUUGACUUAGGUAAAAUUAUUGGCGCAGUUGUUUAUAGUUUGGGUCUGUUCGACCUUUAUUACCUCCAUGAGUUGAGUUAAGACCGGCGUGAGCCAGGUCGGUUCUUAUCUAUUGAGGAGUUUUACUAGUACGAAAGGACCGUAAAUCUUUUUAUUG
Molecule: ribosomal RNA, 406 nt
Filed under: Schizorchis sp. 1 KEG-2011
Lineage: Eukaryota; Metazoa; Platyhelminthes; Cestoda; Cyclophyllidea; Anoplocephalidae
Description: partial large subunit ribosomal RNA
Rfam family: Bacterial large subunit ribosomal RNA (bases 88-363)
Source: RNAcentral